This 16-nucleotide transfer RNA is filed under the name Crocodylus niloticus (Nile crocodile). Its description in RNAcentral is "partial tRNA-Phe". The record is from RNAcentral. Lineage: Eukaryota; Metazoa; Chordata; Crocodylia; Crocodylidae. RNAcentral also lists the same sequence under 4 other names.
GAGUCCCGAAUGACAA